Non-coding RNA from Rattus norvegicus (Norway rat), 309 nucleotides. NCBI's taxonomy places the organism in Eukaryota, Metazoa, Chordata, Mammalia, Rodentia, Muridae. The record is from RefSeq and is a predicted model, not a curated record.
CAAGCUGAUACGGACAGCUGUCAGCCUUGCCCUGACAACUGUGACAACUCCCAUCAGGUGGCCUUCCCCUGAUGCUCCAACAUCACACACUCCCUCACACUGCGUCGGAUGACAUGCUGUUUGGCUACCCCUGAGCCGGUGGGGCACACGCACUGGUGAGGUUUUGAGCCUUCCCCUAACAUUAUUUUCUGAACAGGUCCAAGCAGGCCUUGGAAGGUGUGAAUAGAAUCAUAUAAUGACAAUGUACUUAUAUUUCAUGGGAGAACAAUCAAAUAGAGAAUAAACAUUACCCAAUACUCCCUUCAGUUA